CAAUAGCGUAUAUUAAAGUUGUUGCAGUUAAAAAGCUCGUAGUUGGAUUUCUGGUUGAAGCGACCGGUCGGGCGUUGAUUCGUCUGCACUGGAGUCGGUUUUGGCCAUCCUCUAGGAAAGUGCGUCUGGUAUUAAGUUAUCGGGCGUAUGAUCCUGGUCUUUUACUGUGAAAAAAUUAGAGUGUUUAAAGCAGGCCUUCGCCUUGAAUACAUUAGCAUGGAAUAAUAAGAUAGGACUUUGGUCUAUUUUGUUGGUUUGCAGACCGAAGUAAUGAUUAAUAGGGAUAGUUGGGGGUAUUUAUAUUCCGAUGUCAGAGGUGAAAUUCUUAGAUUUUCGGAAGAUAACCUUAUGCGAAAGCAUUUACCAAGGAUGUUUUCAUUAA
RNAcentral lists this ribosomal RNA (382 nucleotides) under uncultured eukaryote. Its description in RNAcentral is "partial 18S ribosomal RNA". It matches the Rfam family "Eukaryotic small subunit ribosomal RNA", at positions 592 to 976 of the family's 1831-position model. The record is from RNAcentral.